RNAcentral lists this long non-coding RNA (556 nucleotides) under Zonotrichia albicollis (white-throated sparrow). RNAcentral describes it as "lncRNA (ENSZALG00000011288.1)". The record is from RNAcentral. Lineage: Eukaryota; Metazoa; Chordata; Aves; Passeriformes; Passerellidae.
ACCGCGGGCACGGGAUCCCACCUGUGUGCUGGGGGUUCCUGCGUGCCGCGGGCAGCAACAGCGUGCGGUUGCUGAAGCGAGCUGGAAAUAAGGGAGAUGAGUUACAAGGGGCAGUAGCCGGGAGGAAAUAAAAAAAAAAUAAUUAAAAGCUGAGGGAUUCUCCACAGCCCCCGUCAACAGAAUCUCCAAGUAAAGUUACAGGAUGCAGAUACAGGUUUUAACUACAGUGAACCUGCUGCUGAAGCAUCUCUUCAGUGCCUUUUCUUCCCCACCUAUUGAACUGCAUUUUCCUCGGCACAUCUACUCAGCACUACAGGAACUUUCAUACAUGCUAGAGUGUUUCUCAUGAGUGACUCAAAUGGAAAUGGAAGUUGAUCCCUACGACAUGUGGUCCCCUACACUUGUCUCUGCAUACAGGAAAGCUGGACACUCAGCCCAGUAUAGGUCUCUUUCAGGCACCUGCUUGUGUUCUCCCAUGGCAUCCUUUACAGUUGGGAUGAGGUACACAAAAUGGUUCAUUAUUGUCAGAUUGAAAAUCUUUUGCAAAACAUCUUCC